AUUGAACGCUGGCGGCAUGCCUUACACAUGCAAGUCGAACGGCAGCGGACCUUCGGGUGCCGGCGAGUGGCGAACGGGUGAGUAAUAUAUCGGAACGUACCUUUCAGUGGGGGAUAACGUAGCGAAAGUUACGCUAAUACCGCAUAUUCUGUGAGCAGGAAAGCAGGGGAUCGCAAGACCUUGCGCUGAUUGAGCGGCCGAUAUCAGAUUAGCUAGUUGGUGAGGUAAAGGCUCACCAAGGCGACGAUCUGUAGCGGGUCUGAGAGGAUGAUCCGCCACACUGGAACUGAGACACGGUCCAGACUCCUACGGGAGGCAGCAGUGGGGGAAUUUUGGACAAUGGGCGCAGGCCUGAUCCAGCCAUGCCGCGUGAGUGAAGAAGGCCUCGGUUGUAAG
Molecule: ribosomal RNA, 396 nt
Filed under: uncultured bacterium
Lineage: Bacteria
Description: bacterial SSU rRNA
Rfam family: Bacterial small subunit ribosomal RNA
Source: RNAcentral